CGGCACGCAGAGACGGGCAGAGAGAGCGCGUGCAGAGUGGUGGUGCGGCCGUACUGACGAUACAGAAGUGGGGCGAACGCAGCGAACUUGGGCUGGACUAGCGACGGCAGUGAAAGAAGCCUGCGGCAACCAGUGAGUGAGCUCUCAGCGGGAACGGUUGGAGGUGCGGCGUCAGCACGGUCGCGGUGAAACGGAGCCUGCGUGGAGUUGAGUGUGGCUGCUGCCAUUGGAGUUCCACCCAGGCUCGGAGUACUCGCACUGGGGGUUUGGGUUGCGUUUCCGUGUUAUUGCACAAAUACCGGCAGAAGAAACAACUUCAAAGGAAGCUUGAGGCAGCUGUUCUGUGUGUGGAAGGCUCGUAUGUGUGUGUGAGGUAAGCUAUUGUUUAGGAUGUUGAGCAGUAGUAGUAGUAUUAUCUAAUAUAAACAUAUUAUUUCCAUUAAUAGAACAAAAACAAUUUAUAUUAAUAAAGUAACAGUUAAUACUUUUGCCA
Molecule: long non-coding RNA, 493 nt
Filed under: Astyanax mexicanus (Mexican tetra)
Lineage: Eukaryota; Metazoa; Chordata; Actinopteri; Characiformes; Acestrorhamphidae
Description: lncRNA (ENSAMXG00005007528.1)
Source: RNAcentral